UCCUUAUUUGCCUUUGAUUGUUCACCAUUGUACUAAUAUAACCGACCUUCCCAGGAAACAAUUUAGGGAAAUCCUAAUUCCAGAAACGGACUCGCCGGAGGAAUUGUCGCAGGCUCGCAGCCCUCGCUGAAGAUUGGUUGAAGCUGUGAAGCUGUUGAAAGGAGAGAGACAAGCAACGCAAAACUGGUGGCGAAGAUUUGUGAAGGAGCAGAUCUCGCCUCACUUUUCCCUAAGUUCACGAUAACUCGUACUUUCUCACUGAUCGUUGCAUAGUCUGCGGUCGUCGUUAGGGUUCAAGACGACGUUCGUAAUCUGUUGCUUGAUCGCCUUCUCAUGACUGUCCUCGUUUCUGUCUUUAGGGUUUACAGGCAUGACUCGUACGCUCUUACUCCUUGCUGUGUAGUUUGCGGUUGUUAGGGUAUACUAUGCACUCGCUAAUCGGUGUCGUGAUGGCCUUCUCAUGUCUGCUUUGCAGUUUUUUUAAAGUUUCUUGAUCGUCUCCACAUGACUAGUGACUGUCUGCAAAACAUGCACCCUUGAUCUUUCAAAGUCUUUUGAGAAGAAAAUCUUGGUACUUUGAAUAAUGUAUAUAGAUUGAUAAAUGGGGUAUUUAGUUGUCAAUAGUUAAUCAUUCUGUGUUACUACUAUUUUUUGUUAAGACUUUUACACAAAUACCUUGUAGUUGUAUCCUGCUAACAAAUUUCUCAUAUCUUUUUACAAAGACUUUUUGGUAGCCAACAAUGCAUCCUUAUUAUUGUGUUGGGAAUGAGAGAACAAAAUUAUUAGGAAACUGGUGGCAAAUAAAAUACCUUGUAUUUACAUUCAAAAUGUCUAGAUUCUUGAGUUUUUUACUUUAAACUAAUAAUAAUUAGAAUAUGUUCAGUUGAAUAUCUAGAUAUCCACAUUUGAAAGACUUAAAAGUAUGAUACACUUUUCCAGUCGAAUUGAUGAGGCAUUAGUUGGGUAUUUGUGCAAUGGUUCAAUUAUUUUGUACCACCAAAGCACCAAACUAACUAAACUUGCUGUGGAGAUUUUAUUUGGUUCAGCUUUGGUGACUUUCAAUUAUUGUUUUAGAGAGUAUUUGAGGGAAUAAAUUUUGGGGAAGGCAAAUUUAAUAUCAGUAACUCAGUAAGGCAUGACAGUUAUGCUCUCCUGGGUAUCAAGUAUUCUUUGCAUUAGUAUAGCUUAGAGUUGUGGAACUUGUUUUUAUCUAUAUGGUUUUUGUGUAGGAGCUUUCCUUAAAAUAGCCUCCUGAUUUGAAUGUUGUUUAUAAUAUUGAUCAUUUUCUUCAGAGUCUCAAUUUUCAAAUGUAACAGUCAUUUACUUGUAACAUAAAUAUGUAGAAGGAGAUAAGGAUAACUGUUUGGACUAUUGCACCAAAUAGAUUCUCUGCUCGUUCAGACAGUUGUUCAAACCUAUUCAAUUCUUACUAAAAUUCAGAGCACUUCUUUAUCUCCCAACAUUGAGAAUCAUUCUCCUUUUUACACACCACCUUGGUGCUCAAAUUAUUCUUUUUUCCAUUCAAAAAACAGAGAAUCGCUGACCCAAACUCUCUAACCCUACCUAACAUAAUCUCGCUCCCUCUUCUAUGCAUUAAAAGUUAAUUGUCUCACCUAUGCAAUAAACACUUGCUUUGACUCUAAAAACUUGCAUUAUUCUUCAUGCAUAUUCUGUCAUGCUCAGACUAAAUUUAGAUCAAAUUUUUGCUGCAUUUGCCUAACCUAUUACUCUAUCAAUUUUCUCCAUAAUGCUUUGAACCUGUACUUUGAGAUAACUCCCUGUAUUCUUUACCCUUACCUGAAAACCAAAUUGUAACAUGUUCCGAAAUAAGUUUGUUGAAACCAUAACAGUUUUAAGACUAAAUAAAUGAGAAUCCCUUUUCGAAGAGGUUGUUAAUUUAAUACUAAAUCAU
This is a long non-coding RNA of Tripterygium wilfordii, 1912 nucleotides long. RefSeq lists it as uncharacterized. The transcript has 4 exons. NCBI's taxonomy places the organism in Eukaryota, Viridiplantae, Streptophyta, Magnoliopsida, Celastrales, Celastraceae. The record is from RefSeq and is a predicted model, not a curated record.